AUUGAACGCUGGCGGCAUGCCUUACACAUGCAAGUCGAACGGCAGCACGGGGGCAACCCUGGUGGCGAGUGGCGAACGGGUGAGUAAUGCAUCGGAACGUGCCCAGUAGUGGGGGAUAACCCGGCGAAAGCCGGGCUAAUACCGCAUACGACCUACGGGUGAAAGCGGGGGACCGUAAGGCCUCGCGCUAUUGGAGCGGCCGAUGUCUGAUUAGCUAGUUGGCGGGGUAAGAGCCCACCAAGGCGACGAUCAGUAGCUGGUCUGAGAGGACGACCAGCCACACUGGGACUGAGACACGGCCCAGACUCCUACGGGAGGCAGCAGUGGGGAAUUUUGGACAAUGGGCGCAAGCCUGAUCCAGCCAUGCCGCGUGCGGGAAGAAGGCCUUCGGGUUGUAAACCGCUUUUGGCAGGAACGAAACGGCGCGAGCGAAUACCUCGCGUUAAUGACGGUACCUGCAGAAUAAGCACCGGCUAACUACGUGCCAGCCGCCGCCGUAACAC
RNAcentral lists this ribosomal RNA (503 nucleotides) under uncultured bacterium. RNAcentral's name for it is "bacterial SSU rRNA". It matches the Rfam family "Bacterial small subunit ribosomal RNA", at positions 29 to 526 of the family's 1533-position model. The record is from RNAcentral.